Molecule: long non-coding RNA, 512 nt
Organism: Acanthochromis polyacanthus (spiny chromis)
Lineage: Eukaryota; Metazoa; Chordata; Actinopteri; Pomacentridae
Exons: 2
Source: RefSeq, a predicted model, not a curated record
GUCGUGGGGUCCUGGUCGCCGAUGAGGCUGUUGAGGUCCACCGAAGUCUGCUGGUUCUUCGGAGGAUCGUUUUGGACUCCUUCGUCUGUGCAGAUUUCUAUUUUGUCCAUUUCGGAGAAUGGGAAAGCUGGAGACAGGGGCAGUAAGGAUGCGGUGCCUGGAGAUCGAUGUCUGGGUCUUCUUCAAACAACCCUCACCCCAGAAAGGUGGAGACACACUGAUCCAGAACAAUAGUUGCUCAAAAUUCCCAUCUCUCUCACAGACGGUGGAAAGGGAGAGUCUGAUAAGUAUGCAGGAAGGGGUAUGUAUGAGAUAUGCAUGCCCCGGGGGUGGGGAGACAUCAGAGCAGUUCCUGAGGGGUGGGUGGAUGGGGUGCAGGGGCAGCUGGUCCUGGGGCAAUAAAGCAGGGGUGUCAAACUCAUUUUAGUUUAGGGGCCACAUUCAGCCCAAUUUGGUCUGAAGUGGGACCAGUUAAAUCACAGCAAAAUAAAGAAACAAAAUGACAAAAAAAA